UGCGCAGGCGGUUAUAUAAGUCAGAUGUGAAAUCCCCGGGCUCAACCUGGGAACUGCAUUUGAGACUGUAUGGCUAGAGUGUGUCAGAGGGGGGGUAGAAUUCCACGUGUAGCAGUGAAAUGCGUAGAUAUGUGGAGGAAUACCGAUGGCGAAGGCAGCCCCCUGGGAUAACACUGACGCUCAUGCACGAAAGCGUGGGGAGCAAACAGGAUUAGAUACCCUGGUAGUCCACGCCCUAAACGAUGUCAACUAGUUGUCGGGACUUAAUUGUCUUGGUAACGCAGCUAACGCGUGAAGUUGACCGCCUGGGGAGUACGGUCGCAAGAUUAAA
This 331-nucleotide ribosomal RNA is filed under the name uncultured bacterium. RNAcentral's name for it is "bacterial SSU rRNA". It matches the Rfam family "Bacterial small subunit ribosomal RNA", at positions 568 to 898 of the family's 1533-position model. The record is from RNAcentral.